UCUGUAGGUGGCCUGCUAAGUCAGACGUGAAAUCCCUCAGCUUAACUGGGGAACUGCGUCUGAGACUGGUGGGCCUGAGGACAGGAGAGGAACGCGGAAUUCCAGGUGUAGCGGUGAAAUGCGUAGAUAUCUGGAGGAACACCGGUGGCGAAGGCGGCGUUCUGGACUGUUUCUGACACUGAGAGACGAAAGCCAGGGAGGCAAACG
Molecule: ribosomal RNA, 207 nt
Filed under: uncultured bacterium
Lineage: Bacteria
Description: partial 16S ribosomal RNA
Rfam family: Bacterial small subunit ribosomal RNA
Source: RNAcentral